UACGUAGGCAGCAAGCGUUGUUCGGAAUUACUGGGCGUAAAGGGUGUGUAGGCGGUUGUUUAAGUUUGGUGUGAAAUCUCCCGGCUCAACUGGGAGGGUGCGCCGAAUACUGAAUGACUUGGAGUGCGGGAGAGGAAAGUGGGAAUUCCUGGUGUAGCGGUGAAAUGCGUAGAUAUCAGGAGGAACACCAAUAGCGAAGGCAGCUCGCUGGGACGGUGCUGACGCUGAGGCGCGAAAGCGUGGGGAGCGAACAGG
RNAcentral lists this ribosomal RNA (255 nucleotides) under uncultured bacterium. Its description in RNAcentral is "partial 16S ribosomal RNA". It matches the Rfam family "Bacterial small subunit ribosomal RNA", at positions 524 to 776 of the family's 1533-position model. The record is from RNAcentral.